Molecule: non-coding RNA, 79 nt
Organism: Desarmillaria ectypa
Lineage: Eukaryota; Fungi; Basidiomycota; Agaricomycetes; Agaricales; Physalacriaceae
Source: the annotation of a GenBank genome assembly
GGCCGUGUGGCGUAAUGGCAACGCGUCUGACUACGAAGGUGCUAUCAGGAGAUUGCAGGUUCGACCCCUGUCUCGGUCA